UACGGAGGUGGCAAGCGUUGCUCGGAAUCACUGGGCGUAAAGGGCGCGUAGGCGGCGCGGUAAGCGUGCGGUGAAAGCCCGGGGCUCAACCCCGGGUCGGCCGUGCGGACUGCCGGGCUGGAGCACUGUAGAGGCAGGUGGAAUUCCGGGUGUAGCGGUGGAAUGCGUAGAGAUCCGGAAGAACACCGGUGGCGAAGGCGGCCUGCUGGGCAGUAGCUGACGCUGAAGCGCGACAGCGUGGGGAGCAAACAGG
Molecule: ribosomal RNA, 253 nt
Filed under: uncultured prokaryote
Description: partial 16S ribosomal RNA
Rfam family: Bacterial small subunit ribosomal RNA
Source: RNAcentral